This 1155-nucleotide unclassified non-coding RNA is filed under the name Hevea brasiliensis (rubber tree). Lineage: Eukaryota; Viridiplantae; Streptophyta; Magnoliopsida; Malpighiales; Euphorbiaceae. The record is from RNAcentral.
GUGGCGACGUGGCUGGUGGUGGCGGUGGGAGUUUCUCUGUUAGGAUUGUAUUUGAAAGGCGGUGAUUUGAAUCAGUGGAGGAGAAUGAGGAGGAAGAAGAAGAUACGCGUGUACAUGGACGGCUGCUUUGACAUGAUGCACUACGGCCACUGCAACGCUCUCCGGCAAGCUCGCGCUCUUGGGGAUGAAUUGGUGGUGGGUGUCGUGAGCGAUGCCGAAAUCAUAGCUAACAAAGGUCCUCCUGUUACCCCUCUCCACGAGAGAAUGAUCAUGGUUAAGGCCGUCAAGUGGGUGGACGAGGUGAUUCCGGACGCGCCGUAUGCAAUCACAGAAGGAUUCAUGAAGAAGCUGUUCGAAGAAUAUAAUAUCGAUUAUAUCAUCCACGGGGAUGACCCUUGUGUUCUUCCCGAUGGAACCGAUGCCUAUGCCCUUGCUAAGAAGGCUGGCCGCUACAAGCAGAUUAAGCGCACCGAAGGAGUCUCAAGCACCGAUAUAGUUGGUCGAAUGUUACUUUGUACGCGAGAGAGAUCAAUUAGUGAUAGUCACAAUCACUCAUCUUUGCAAAGGCAGUUCAGCCAUGGUCAUAGCCCGAGAUUUGAAGACGGUGGAUCUGGAACUGGAGCUGGUACUCGCGUUUCUCAUUUUCUUCCUACUUCUCGCAGAAUUGUUCAAUUCUCCAAUGGCAAGGGGCCAGGUCCUGAUGCUCGCAUAGUUUAUAUCGACGGUGCUUUUGAUCUUUUUCAUGCUGGACAUGUUGAGAUUCUGAGGGUUGCUCGGGGGCUUGGAGAUUUUCUUCUUGUUGGAAUACACAGUGAUCAGACUGUCAGUGCUAAAAGAGGAGUGCAUCGCCCUAUCAUGAAUCUUCAUGAAAGAAGUUUAAGUGUUUUGGCUUGUCGAUAUGUGGAUGAGGUGAUAAUUGGUGCUCCAAGUGAAGUAUCCAAAGACAUGAUAACAACCUUUAACAUCUCUUUGGUAGUACAUGGAACAGUAGCAGAGAAUGUCGAGUAUGAGAAGGAACAAUGCAAUCCAUAUGCUGUUCCAAUUAGGAUGGGCAUCUUCAAGGUUUUGGGAAGCCCUCUGGAUAUUACUACUACCACGAUAAUUAGGAGGAUUGUGGCAAAUCAUGAAGCAUACCAGAAACGUAAUGAGAAGAAG